GGUCCUGUGGCCCAAUGGCAAGGCGCUUGACUACGAAUCAAGAGAUUGUCGGUUCGAUCCCGACCAGGAUCA
Transfer RNA from Cladophialophora psammophila CBS 110553, 72 nucleotides. It matches the Rfam family "tRNA". Rfam says of the family: Transfer RNA (tRNA) molecules are approximately 80 nucleotides in length. Their secondary structure includes four short double-helical elements and three loops (D, anti-codon, and T loops). NCBI's taxonomy places the organism in Eukaryota, Fungi, Ascomycota, Eurotiomycetes, Chaetothyriales, Herpotrichiellaceae. The record is from Rfam.